GUACUCUCACACUCCCAAUGCUUUUGGAUUGGGAGCGGUGGACUUGGGUGUUGCUGCUUUACAGUGGCUCGCCUCAAAUGGAGUAGUGCAACUCUUGGUUGGACAUAGUACGGCGUGAUAAGUAUCUUCGCCGGCGCCUCAUUAGAGGGUGGCUGAUCAGGAGCUCUGUGCUUCAAACCGUCUUCGGACGAACUCUUAUAUCAA
This 204-nucleotide unclassified non-coding RNA is filed under the name uncultured Sebacinaceae. Its description in RNAcentral is "sequence contains ITS2". The record is from RNAcentral. Lineage: Eukaryota; Fungi; Basidiomycota; Agaricomycetes; Sebacinales; Sebacinaceae.